UGUCUCCUCCAUUUUUCCUUUCCGUUCGGCCCCACUCCUAUUCCGAACUCAGCCGCCUCCCUCUCUCGUGUCGUGCCUCAGCGUGCAUGUGCGCGCGCGUAUAUGUGCGACAGUGCGUAGUAACUUGAUCUGGCUCACUGCGUACUCUCUGAGUGUGCGCGUGCGUCUCUCCUCACACCCUCUUUCUUCUUCCUUGGUGGCCGAGCACACCCAGGCCGAAUUGACGACGAUGCCGCCGCCACCGAGAGACCGUUACCACUCAGUCCGCAGGCUGCCAAGCCGUCCAGGGCAACACCAGCAGCAGCAGCAGUAUGCGAAGAAGGAUGUGCCGCGGCAUGCUGGCAAGAAGAUGAGCGCCGCGGCAGGACCGUCCGCCACCGGCCCCUCUGCCUCGGCAGUCACCGAAGCGUCCACUGCACGCGAAGUGGCGCUACGCGAGGCCCUCGCGAAAGCCCUCAGCCACGGCGGCGUUGAGGGCGGCGCCGCAUCGACCUCAGAAAACAGCGUGGACACUUACGGGAACGGCUCCCCGACGGACCGCCUUCAGUUUGGUUACAGUCCCUCCGUCGCGGCAGAGGCCGUCGCCUUUCACACGCGUUUCACGAAGGAUGCGUGGGUGACCGCACGCAAGCGCAACGGCCGCCUCGUUUUUGUAAAGAAGCAGAAGCUCGGAGUCACCAACUGCGAGCCCAUCACCUCCAUCCUGAAGCUGCAGAGUCACUGGAAGCAGAUGAACGCCUUCCAGAGCGACGUACAAGGUGGUGCCGUUAGAAAACUGAAGGCGGAGGACCUCGACAUGCUCGUCGACAUGCUAGCCUCUAAGCAGCGCAUCGGUGACGACGAGGACGAGGCGUAGCAGUGAUGCUGUGUCGGUGCGUGCACGGACAUGGAGGCAUAGUAAGAAGGAAACGGCGCCGUGUGUAAACAUGUAUCCUCGUGAGUGUGUGGUUGUCUGGGCAGGAGAACGGAAGACAGACGAUGAGGGAGGCGUGGCUGCGAAGUAUUGUGCCGCGUGGCACACUACCCGUGGCAUUCCACCCGCCGUCUCUCCCUUUGCGAGUGUUCUUGUUCUCCCCUUCUCGUACCUCUAAUGAUCGCGU
This 1100-nucleotide unclassified non-coding RNA is filed under the name Leishmania donovani. Its description in RNAcentral is "gene:LdHU3.28.4050(CDS-product:hypothetical_prote in_conserved)". Lineage: Eukaryota; Euglenozoa; Kinetoplastea; Trypanosomatida; Trypanosomatidae. The record is from RNAcentral.